UUUCCGUAGGUGAACCUGCAGAAGGAUCAUUACAUUCAGUAGCCUAGCUACUUAUUUACACCCUUAUUUUUUUGCGUACCUAUCGUUUCCUCAGCGGGCUUGCCUGCUGGUUAGACAACUUUUAAACCUUUUUAAAUCUUCAAUCAGCGUCUGAAUAAUAUACAAUAAUUACAACUUUUAACAACAGAUCUCUUAGUUCUAGCAUCGAUGAAGAACGCAGC
Molecule: unclassified non-coding RNA, 221 nt
Filed under: uncultured fungus
Lineage: Eukaryota; Fungi
Description: sequence contains ITS1, 5.8S rRNA gene
Source: RNAcentral